Pan troglodytes (chimpanzee) is the source of this 14583-nucleotide long non-coding RNA. RefSeq lists it as uncharacterized. Lineage: Eukaryota; Metazoa; Chordata; Mammalia; Primates; Hominidae. The transcript has 7 exons. The record is from RefSeq and is a predicted model, not a curated record.
GCGCCUCCCGCCAGGGCCGAGGAGGAGAGGACGCGCGGGUCCCCGGAGUCCCCCACUCCGUCUGCCUAAGCCGUGGAGACCGGGAGUGGACGCACGGCGGUGCCUGGACCCCCGGGGAGGAGGAAGAAGAGGAGAGGGAAGGGGGCUGUGGAGUCAGGUGUCGAUUUGACGCCCGCGGCCGCCGAGGGGACUCUGCCCGGGACUGGUGCCGCCUGGGGGGCGUUCAGGGAGCGUGGGGCGCCGACCGCUGCAGAUGCGGCGGCGCGCGUGGGCUCGGGCAGGCGCCCCCUUUUCCCGGGAUAGAAACGGAUAAACGGAAGCGCGUGUGAGUGUGGGGGUGCGAAUCGCCACCUCCGGCCUUGGCUUUCCCGCUCUUCCGAGCUCUCCCACUUCUCACUUUCCCCAAAUCCGCAUUUUCCUUGGCACAGCUCUCCCCGAGCACGAAGGAGAGGGAGGUACCCGGGGGCAGUGAGAAUGACGUGUGCUGGUGCAGAGGGGGUGGGGGGUCUGCGGGCCUGGAUCUGUGGACCGGCUCCUAAUCCUCUUGUUUUCGGAACCGUCAGCAGAUGCGGCUUCCUUUACCUGAAUAAUCCUUUAAAGGAGUAAUAAUUUUUAAAAAGGAGCUCGACCUCAGCCAAAGAGGACGGCGCACGAGAUUAGGGCUUGUAGAUCCACUGCCUUUGGUUGGGCCGGCUGAAUCGCUGGGGACUGCGGCCAGUCUCUUAAAAAGGAGAACAAAAAGCCGAAGACCUUGUGUGGCCGCCGGGACAAAGCACUUUGGGUUCGGCGAGAAGGGACGCGCAGGAGCGCUGAACCCAGAACACGCGUGGCCGCUGCGGAAGGGCGUCCGCCGGGCGUGCGGAACGCUGAGGGGACUCUCGUCCUCUGUCUCGCCCCCUUUUUUUGACCCGGGGAUCCAGCCGCAUUAUACAUGAGUGAUCUUUUAAAUCUACGUCCACCCUUUACCUGCGAGAGGACUGCAGCAGGCGAGUUCCGGAAGGCUGAAUCCCCAGGUCCCAGCCCCGGACCGCGGCAACUCGCCCCUGCGGCACGCCCGGCCCGGCUGCGCCCCCACUCAGCGAUGGAGGUAAAGAGGCGGCGGCCGCGCGCCGUGCCCCGGCUGCCGCUGCCGAGCCCCCGCUGCUCUCCUUGUCCUUCGCUCUCUUCUUCCUCCUCCUAGCCCCCUUCAGUUUCCUGGGCAAAGCAGAGGGCGACAUGGGUGGGUGGGUUUGCUGCGCUGGGGCGAGGUGGGGUCGAUGUUGUUUUUUCAUUGUCUGUAGCUGCAGGGGAGGCGAGGCGCGGGGAAAGGGGCGAGGGGAGCCGGGGUAAUUAACACGGGGGAGGCACCCCUCCGUCUCCCACUUCCACCCACACCCCCAUCCCUCCACCCCCUCCGCUUUGCAGGAAAAAGCCUGGAUGCGAAAGGAUGGGGGAGAACAAAGAGCCUUUGGAAGACGUCGCUGUUAUCUCAUUGUCUGUGUGAUUGGGGGAGCUGCGGCGGGGAGGAUGCUGUGGUCCCUUCCUCCGGCGCUCCCCACCCCCAUCCCUCUCCCCGCUGUCAGUGCGCACGCACACGCGCCGCUUUUUAUUUCUUUUUCCUGGUUUUCUUAUUCCAUCUUCUACCCACCCCUCUUCCUUUCUUUCACCUUUCCUUCCUUCCUUCCUCCUUUCCUUCCUCAGGAGAAAGGCCUCUCUCUCCGUGUUCACAGCGGACCUUGAUUUAAAUGUCCAUACAAUUAAGGCACGCGGUGAAUGCCAAGAAUGGGGCUGGCUGAGCACCGUGGGUCGGCGAGGGCCCGCCAAGGAAGGAGCGACCGACCGAGCCAGGCGCCCUCCGCAGACCUCCGCGCAGCGGCCGCGGGCGCGAGGGGAGGGGUCUGGAGCUCCCUCCGGCUGCCUGUCCCGCACCGGAGCCCGUGGGGUGGGGAGGUGUGCAGCCUGUGACAGACAGGGGCUUAGAGAUGCAAACAGACUCAGGGAGAGAAACAGAAGCUGAUUCUGUGACAGAAGCAGAUCUGUGCAGCACAGACGCGGUGUGCGUGGGGAGGGGGUCGCCUGGGAGCGCAUUGCGGAGUGCUUGUGUGUGCAGAUUUUUCUCUGGGCUCAGGACACAUUGUAUGUGGGUCAACACCUUCCUCCGUGACUGUGUUUUUGUUCUGAGCUGAGUUUUUUGGUUUGCCCUUAAAAAAAUAAUAAUUUGGCAUCCAGAGACUGGCAGACUGCCUCAGGGCCUGGACUGCGGAUAUAUUGUGUUCUGCUUGAGGUUUGGGGAGGAGGGCAGGCGGUAGGAAGGGAGAGGGGGAGCUGUUUGUCACCCUUUGCUGUAGAGCUGAGAGCACCUGACAAGCUUAAGGAAGUCGUUGGGCUAUGUGGACAAGAAGUAGCCAGCUCCCAGCGGGUUCACAAGCUCUGUCGGAGCUGAAAGCGUGGUCAUGGCUCUAAGGAGCACCUCACGCCCUCCCUGUAGCUGUUAUUGCAGUUUCAGGCAGAGAUCCAGGAGCUGCAGAGGAAGGGAGAGGCACAAUAACCUACAUGGACCCAAGGGAGACAUGUGUUCCUUUAAAAAUGUGAACAGAAGGAAAAACAGAAUGUGUGCAACUGGGGGUCUGAGGAAAGACUGUUUUGAAAGAGGCUGUCAGGGAAUGGAAAGGGUUAAGCUUUUCAUCCUGAAGAACCUGCUUCCCAAAUCAGGCCUUCCUCCCAUCACUAGACCCUGAGCAGCAGCUGGUCCUAGAGACCCCCCUCGUACUGCGCUGCCACAAUCUCACCCCAUUUCCAGCUCUGUAUUAACCACCAAGCUGCAGCGGAUGGGGCAAGACCUAAGCUCAUUAAUUUCCAGGUGGAGGAAAUGGAGGAGGGGCAGGUCCCUGCAGUAGAGGGAGGAGCAGAGAAAGGAGGCCAAGAGCUGGAUCCUUCUGCCCAGGAAGCCUGCUGCAUCCCUUCCCCCGAGCAUGGCAGAGGCCUGGCUUUGCAAGGCCAAGGCCAUAAGGGAUGCUUAGGAGAUUAAUUUGAUUCCUGACACAAUAAUCAAGGCCUAAGAGUCUCCGCUGAAGCUUACUGAGGACUUCUUUCCUCUCCAAAGCCUCAAUCUAGCCUGCUAAAUAAAUUAGUAGUAUUCAGUGAUGCCUUGGAUCAGGGCCCCUCCCCGGCCUCAGUUCCCCCAAAUAUUUAUUAAGUACCUACUAUGUGCAAUCCUUGUGUAAUUAUUACCUCUUAGGCUCUUCAUUUGCCCUCCUAAAGCAGUGUUUAGAGUCAGGCAGAGGUUAAGUGUGUUGCACCUCACCUAGAUACUUCCAGAACCUUCUCUGGGUCUGCAGAAUGUGGCACAACCUGCUUGCCCCCGCAGAGACAAAGCUGCAGUGCACAUCCUGCAGACUGCAGGUGCUGGGCUGCCUCUGGAGUCCCAGAAGGCAAGCUUGGCUGCAGGACAGAAAGGGAGAACAGCUUCUCUCACCCCUGAGCCUUCACAAGCCCUUGUCUAUUUGCCGUUGCCUUCAAAAUAUACCUCCCCCGAAACCAGUAGCUUUCUGAGUCCUGGUGUCCCCUCCGCCCUUUCUGGACAGAUUUGGGAAGAAGAAAGCAGUCAGUGCUGGGCCUUAUUGGGGUGUAAAGCGCCUUGCUCUGCCCCUUCUGCUCACUGUGAAGGCCGCUGGAUGCUUCUCUUAGGCAUGGUUUAAGCCUCCGAUUACUAAACCCCUUGCCCCACAAACGUCCACAUUGACGAGCCUCUUUUUAGUAACUGCUUCCCCGUAAUUCCUUCAGAGGUUGCUGUACCCUUCGCUGAUGUGCCCUCCUGUAAAACCUCCAGAUGCCUUCCCACGUAAUGCCCCUUUCAGAUGCUUUAAGCCUAGAGCUUAAACCACAGGUACCAUGGCUGACGCCUGCCAGGUUUCUGCUGCAAAUAAUCUAUGAUGGGAGGGGCAUAUUUUUUACUUCAUUACUUAUGUAAACUCUUGUUCCAGAAAGCUUUAAUGUGUGUGGGAGUGUUCUGGCUCUAUUAGGUCUGUGUGCAUGGGUGUGGGCAUUUGCCUGUGUCCACCGGGUGGGUCUCAUUGUGAAAUGUAUGUUUAUGUAGGGCUUUAAUGGCUGAAAAUGGCAAAGAGAUGAAUAGACCACUUGGCCCCAUGUGUAAUUGCCAGGCCCCUUCUGUGCUCAAAUGAGGUGUCCGAGUGAAGGUCAGCCCUUCCCUUCUGUAUUUGGGGCCUAUUUAUGCCACCAGUAAUUUUACAAGAAAUCUGAAUAGUUCUCCCCUUUGAGUGCAUUUAACUCUUUAGUAUCUUCUCUCUUACCUAUUUGAGCCCCUCUAGCUACAGUCUGGCUUAAAUGAAAGGGGAAUUAUAUGGUUAAGAAAAAGUAGGACACGGUUGAGGCAGUUUGCUGACUGAAUACGCGAAGAAGGACCUGAUGGGCUCAUAUGCACCACUGCCAUCACAGUCCUCAUCGUGAUGCAAGCUUAUAUGAUUCUUGAGGUAACUCUACCAGAUACUUCCAGAUUUAGAAAUGUGUCAGAGGAAAAAUUGGUGAUACUCUUCUUUCCCCUGCCAGAAACAGCCCAGAUCUCCGCUUAAGCGGAAAAGAGAUUGACCUUCUAGCAGAGGCAAAGGUAAACUCCUGUAAGUUACUUCUGUUACCAAAGGGAGGGGGGCGGCUUUUGUGAAUGUAUGAGGAGCUUUUGCCAGAGAGAUAUUCGGAGGAGGGGUGUGCCCAUAUGCACACACACAUUUUCCCGCAUAACCGUAUCCAAUGCUAGCAUUUAGAGGAAGGCAUUUAGCCACCAAAAGUCCAUCCAUCGAUGCUGCUUCCACAGAGAAAACAUUUUCUCUUUCCUCCUCUUGAACUUACAUAAUAUCCUCCUCCCAUUCCAACCUUAGAAUGGAGUCUUCUGGGGGCAGCUGCAAAGCGUUCUCCCUAGGACAGAUGGAGCCUCCCUUUCCUCAUCUACUCUGUGGGUGGUUUCAGGGCCCAUGAGUCAACAUGAGGAGUUGUGCUGGUGGUAUGUGUGUUGGAGGCUGGGCUGGCUGAUUCACAGUGACGAGGAUGUCAAUAACAACAAGUAUGAGAAUGAUGGUACCUAAUAAAGACUUUUUUUCCCAAGUCCCAUCUACAAUUCUUUCAUUGGAUGUUUUGCCAAGUCUUUCUCAAUCUCAUUUCAGCUUUUUUUUUUUUUUUAAAGAAAAUGUAUUCAAUACUUAAUUGCAUCACAAAUGUAGACAUAGAAGAAAGGACUUCAAACGGAAUUUAUGGGAGGCAAUGUGUGCGGCUUUUUGCCUUAUAGAGCUGUGGAGAAGGUCUGGAAUGAUCUUCCAGCACCAAAUUUAGAUGGCCUCAAAAAAAAAAAAAAAAAAAUCAGGCCUUAUUGAGGGCAAGGAAUGUUCCAGGUCAGAAAUAAAAGUGUCAGCAACUCUCAAUAGGUUCAUCUUUUUAUUUCCUGUCCUUCUCCCUUUUGUCUUAAAAUAGAAACGCUACCAAGACCUGAGGGCCUGGGUCAGGGUCCGGGAAGCCCAGAAAACAAACUUCCAGAAUCACUAAGGGCUUUCUCUCUCAAAAUUACAGUGGGAGGGUUCUUUUGAAAUUCAAAUCCAACCUAUUUGUUGCUUAAGCACACACAAAAUACUGAGACCUGGGGUCCAAGAGGCAAUACUUCCGCUGCAAGUGCAUGUUGCAACUUCGCGUGAUGUUCCCAGGGCGGUUCUGCGGCGAGUUGCGGCUCCGCGACUGUGGGCGCGGGCCCCAUUUCGGGCCCGGUCGGCCGGGACCGCGCCCAGGGCUUCUCAGUGACUCGCUUCCCAGCACGCAAGAGGCAUUCUCGUCUCUUUCUCUUCGAAUGCACCCGAGACUUCUCCAUGGAGCAAGGAGAAGAUGAGCAGGCGCUGGUUUCCCUUUUCUUUUUUGCUCGCAUUUCCCAGUCUUGAUUUUUUUUUUUUCCUUUCUCUCUCUCUCCCGAAUCAUGCAGACCUGGAACUCCUGAGAUUCGGGUCCUCCUGCAGUUCCCAAAGCUUUGGAUCCAUCCGAGUUGUGGGUAGACGCGGGUUAGUCUCAGGGUCUUUCUAGGAUGAGCCCCAAGCCCAAGUUCUAAGGCGAGGGGGAGGCGAAGAGGUCAGGGCGACAAACGCCAGGGACUGUCCCCGGAGAGGUCAUUUUUCCAUUUUCCAUGCACAUCGAUUUCACUCUAGCUGCCAGAUGGACACUCGACGGUCAACGUUAGAGAUUUUUACGGAGUCGGGGGCAGGAAGCGGGACGAAUUGAGACGAGGGUACAUCCUUUGCUUCCAAGGGUGGCCGAGCCAGACCGAAGGCCUGGGCGGGAGGUCACGUCCUCCCCUGGCCACCCACAGCGCUCCCCAGCCGCAGGCCUGGGCCUAGAAGCCGCGCCCUCCCGGCCGUGCAGCCGGUGAGCCUGUGCGCCCGGCGCCCGCAGUGCGGCUCCGGGCCUCUCUCUGAUCCACUUCAGUACCUGCGGCCUCGAGGACCCCACCCUGCAUCCCGGGAAGCCUCAGAACUUGCAAGAAAGAGGGGCUGGCAGGUGCAGCCUGGGAAGAGGACCCCGCCGCGAAAGCGCUUGGGGGUUGGGUUUUAUUUGCUGGAGUGGGGGGUCCGUCUCAGUGCAUCCUCCUGGAUUCCCCAUUAGGACGCCCCGCCCAUACAUCCAGCCUCCUCUCCCGCAUACCCCCAGUGACCCGGCCAGGGAGCGGGCAUCUUCCCCCAGGACCCAGAGACGUGUCCUCGCCAUCCCCAAACACCGUCCUUCCCCACCCCCGCAACCCUCUCCACAGAAGCCAAAACCACAACAAAAAUCUUCAACCCACAAAGAAAAAGACACAUUCCUCCUUCGGCCUGAGUCAGCGUUAGUUCCAGAUCCGAAGCCGGAGGGGACGGAGCCGCUCGAAGUCGGUUGGAAGGAAGGCGCAGAAGGCUCUUUCUGUCUCCAUGAAUCUGCUUGCAAAUGCAACCGCUGCUGCCAUUAGGACGCGGUCUCUGUUUGCAAAAAAACUCAAUUCCUUCCAUUUCCUCAUCUGUUGGGUCCAUCAGCGUGCAGUGAGUGAUGCAAGGUCCCUUUGGGUCAACAGGCCGUCCCCUGAAAUAACUUUCAGAGCCCUGGCCUCAAGGUCAUGGGCCGGGUGGCCUCUACAGGCCACAGGUCAGGACCAGGAUGUGCCUGACUGAGGCUGUGCCACCGAGAGCUUCGGACGUGCGGGAAGGUGCCCUGAGCUGCACGGGGGGCUUCUGUCAGCCCCCUCCCACUCUACACAGAUUGAUGUGGCAAUAUUUAUUCCCAUUUAAUUGAGACACUGGUUUAAUUUCAGAUUGCUUCGGCUUAAGGCCCAAUGGGGUUUUCUGCAGCUCUUUUCCCCAGUGCCUCUACAGAAAUUAAUUGCUGUUAAUAUCCAAUUUUGGCUUUAUUAUUCGUUAGCCAAUUAUGUAUCCCAUAGCCCAGGCCCCUUGCUGCUCUCAGCCUCUGCUGGAAUCAGCUCACACUAUGCCGGGCUUCUGCUUUUCUGCCUUCCCCUGUAUUCAAACUCUGUCCUCCCAAGAUGAUUUACCGGCCCGUCAGGCAUUUUGCUUGUGUCCCAGCGCUAGCUGAGCUGGGGGAGGUGUCUUUAAGACGUUUUCCCCUUUUUGAGGGAAAUGUCUUCUUUGCAGUGGAAAUAAUUUCCAUUUAAAAAGGAAUCUAAGCUUCUCCACUAUCCCAAGACUUGCUUUCUCUGGAGCCAUUUUUGGAGAGCAGUUUUCCAUCAAAAGCAAGCAAGGUGCCCCGGCCUCAGGGCUCCCCUCCCCACCUCCCUAGGAGCCCCUCCGAGACUGUCUUAAAGCCACCACAUAGACAUAACACCAUAGAUUCAAACAGGGUGCUUGGAGGAUGUCAUUCCACAUUUCAAGGAGGGAAACUUGAAAAAGCACUAUUUUCAGAGAUGAGGAGGGUAGCCCUCCUCCCCCACAGAGGCCCUGGAAACCAUUCCAGCCUUGCACUGCGCAACCCUGCUUGAUGGAGCUGAUGCAACUGGGGGCAAGAGCCUUUAAAAAGUGUUCUUUUGCCUUGGUUUUUUGUGCCUUGAGUUCACUAAUAGAAGCAAACACUUCCCAUCACUGGUGCUCUGGAAACAGAAACAUACAAGUGAGAAUCCUAACGACAGCAGAGGCCCUUCUUUGUCUGCUUCCUCUCCUUCCCCCCUUGGAAAGAAUGCCUCCCAUGCCUUAAUGUGCCCUCACACUUAUCUCUAGCAGUUCCGUAACAACCUGCGCAGUGUCGGCAUCAGAACCGAAUGCAGAGAAAACAAUACGUCAGAGCUGCUGGCUUGGACUGCGGCCCCUACAGAUGAAGCCCGAGCCUUCUACUCCUACCUCAGCAUCUUGCCGCCUUCAUGUGGACAAUUAAUCAACAGCAACAGCAUAGUGUGAAGUAGAGAUAGAGUCUUGCUAUGUUCCCCAGGCUGCUCUGGAAUUCCUGGGCUCAAGCAAUCCUCCUGACUUGGCCUCCGAAAGUGCUGGGAUUACAGGUAAGAGCCACCAUGCCCAGACUCCAGUGCAGUUUUGACAAAUGAGGUGGAGUCAGCAGCCCAUUACCCACUGAAUAAAGCCUAGCUCUCCUAAGUCCUGCACUGGGUGGUGCGCUGCUCACCUGAAUGCCCAGUGAUUGUCCUGUGCCUCCCCACCACCUGGUUUAUUUGCUUAAAUCCUCAAACCUCCCUCCUUGGUUGGGUUGCUGAAACCCUUCCUACACCUUUCCUGCCUCCGAUUCCUGAGAGCUACAUUUAACCUCCACAAGGCUCCUAUUCCAAAUCGGAGGAAGCACUGAAAACAAAGCACUUUCGCAUCCUUCACCCUGAUCUGUAGCAUAUUAUUCAGAACUCUUAUGAUUUCAAGUGACAGAAACCCAAGCUGAACCAGCUGAAACACUCAGAGGUAUUUAGUAUCUCAUGGAACCCAGUGCCCCAGGGACAGGCAGAAACGCUGACUUGAACAUCUCUUUCUGAGUUUCUCAUCUCAGCGCCUCUCUGCAGAUGUUGAAAUCUUCUUUUUUUCUGCUAACUGGCCUCUGCUUCCCAGGUUCACAGCAAGAAACAUGGCCAUUGGGAUGUCCCAAGCUUUGCAUUUUAUAGCCCAGCUUAGGUCAGGUGGCCACCCCUGUGCCAGUCAACUUGACCGAAUGGAUGGAAAACCUCAACUGAUCAAGCUGGAGUUAAGUGCAUGCAGGGAGCACCUAUGGUAACUGUGGAUGGCAGGGAGGGCAGCCACCUAGAAAAAGGUACUGCUGGCCAGGUAAGACUACAGGUAUCCACAACUACCACCAAUCUGCUGUGAACAGUUCCUCUGAAGUUGUGCAAUAAGCAAGCCGUGUGAUGCUGGUCCUGGUAGAAUAUCUUAUUUCUAAACUCCAAACCAUCAGAUUGGCCUCUACCUCCCCAUUUGCCCUCCUCAGAAGAUCUUGACACCCAAGUUCACCCGAUCCUCUGGAGUCCUGUGGUUUGAAAUACUGACCAUUUGUCCCAAUCCUGGAGCCAAGGUCCCAGCAUGCUCUGUGUCCAAGUUCAGAUUACCACAAAAGCUGGUUGCGAAGACCACAAGUUGUUACCGAUUUGUUUUUUAACCAGUUGUAUAUACAACAUUUGGUGCUUUUCACAACACCACACUACCUCUGUCUUACUGUACUGUUUCUCUCCCUAGCAAGCUACCAACAUUUCCUCUCUCCUCUCUAAAACAUGAAAAAAAGGAGAGAGAGAGAGAGAGAGAGAGAGAGAUAUGCAGGUAAUGCCUAUACUCUCAUCUCCUAUGGGGUCCUUGAGACAAUGGAUUCCAAAGAGCAGUUUGGAACAUGAAGAAAACCCCAACGGGGAGGUCCUGCUCCCAAGUCUCACUAAUUCUGGAUUUAAUUCUCCCCUGUGGGCCAGGUGUUGAAUUAGUGGCCCUCCCACCCUACCUUCUGUUUUCUAUGAUCUCGUCUCAUCUAAUAAAGGCUCCAGAUCUGAAAGUCUCUGAGACCAGAACCUUAAUCCAAUUAAAGCCUGGUAAAGCAAACAAACUUGGGAAAGACAAAGAGGUGAAGAGGUUAACAGCAGACAAAACCUCCACUGACAAGCUAAAUUAGCCUUGCCCACCUCAGGAGAAGGUGUAAGGUGGACAGCGGGGACUGCUGGUAGUGAUUAACAUUUGCUCGAAAUUCUAAGGAGCUAAUUUUUUUUCCAAGUUAAAUGUUAACCUGUGAAAAGAGGAACAGUAACUAUGUGAAGAGGAAUGUGAAGAAGAAAACAGAAAGACCAGCCUGCUGGGUGGAUGUCUUCCUCCCAAAGUAGUCGAGACCAGGGAUACUGAGGAACAGUUUUCCAUUUAUCCUUCAUCAUGUCCAUUCAACAGGGCCACUGAGCUCCAGAUGAGCAUGGAAAGAUGGAGGAGCUGCCAAACCUGACUUUGGAGGCCCUGGUCAGGAGCCCGAUGGAGGUCUUCCAGUUUUACACCCUUUGUGAAUUUGUCGGUGGGGUGGGUUUGUUCUGAUGCCAUGAGUAGCUUCCACUGGAAAAGGCACCAUCUCCACCCAACAUUUUAGGUAUGCUGGUGCUUUGGGAGGACAUUCUUGGUGCAAAUAAUCGUCUGAACAUUCUUUGCUAUCCUUUGGUAGAGGCUUUAUUUACCACAAUGAAGAGUAGAAAGAUUAUGAUGUGAGUGUGUUUUGGUGUGUGUGUGUGUGUAUGUGUGUGACUAUUAGUGAAAACUGCUAGUAAUAUGUCAGUGUGGAGAGAAAUUCAGUCCUCCCACAAGUGGUGAGGCCCAAUAUUAAGGGACAGAACAUCAGUGAGCACCACAUUAAGGCACUAUUCUCGACAUCUGGGAAGAAGCAAAGAAAAAUGUGUCAUGCCUCUUACCUUUUAGGGACUUAUAAUACAGGAAAGAGAAGACUUGUAUAAAUGGCUAAAAAUAUACUGAGGAGUAUAACUAAUAACUAAUGCAGAGUGUGCUGGUAAAAGGUUGUGUGGGUUCAGGAAUGUCAAAAGUUGCAGCUGCUGUGAAAGCCAAUAUGGCGGGUCCUCAAAAAAUUAAAUGUAGAAUUACCAUAUGACUCGGCAACUCCACUUCCGGGUAUGUUCUUAAAACGAUUGAAAGCAGAGACUCAGACAGAUAAUUGCACACCCAUGUUCACAGCAGCAUUAUUCACAAUCGCCAAAAUGUGGAAGCAACCCAAGUGUCCACUGGCCAAUGAAUGAAUGAGUAAAACAUGCUAUGUAUCAACAGUAGAAUAUUAUCCAACCUUAAAAGGAAACAAAUUCUGGUACGUGUUACAACAUAGAUGUACCUUGAGUGGAAGAAGAAAAAAGAAAGAGCAGUCCACUGGGUGUAUGUCUUCUUCCCAAAGUAGUUGGGAUCAGGAAUGCUGAGAAACAAUUCCCCAUUCACCCUUCAACAUCUCCAUUCAACAGGGCCACUGAGCUCCAGGAUGAGUAUGGAAGGAUGGAGGAGCUGCCAAGCUUGACCUUGGGGACCCAGGUCAGGAGCCUUCUGGAGACCUUCCAGUUUUAUGCCCUUCGUGAAUUUGUUUGUGCGAUGAACUCUAUGAAGUGAACUAAACCAAUCACACACAAAAAAUAAAACUGUAUGAUUCCACUUAUAUGAGGCACCUAGUCAAAUUCAGAGACAGAAAUAAAAAUGGGGGUUGAUAGGAGGGGGGAGGAUGGAAGAGUGGGAAGUUACUGUCAAUGGGAACAGAUUUUCAGUUUUGCCAAAGAGUUCUGGGAAUGAAUGGGGUAAUGACUGCACAACACUGUGAAGGUACUUAAUGCCCCUGAACCACAUACUUAAAAAAUGAUUAAGAUGGUAAAUUUUAUGUAAGUGUAUUUUACCACAUUUUUUUUUCAAAUUCAUGUAGUUUCAGAUGAGACUUUAUAGAAAUGUGGCAUUGAGCUGCCUGAAAGAACAGAUGAAUUUCAGUAUAUAAAGAAGAGGAAGAAGGACAUUAGAGACCAGGGGAAGGACACGAAAGGAUCAAAGGCAGUGAAGUAUCUAUCCAUGGGUACCCACAGUGAGUGGUUUAAGUUUCCUGGAACAAAGGGUUCCAGAAGGAAAACAAGGUCAGCCAGCCAUUGAAACCCAGACAAUGGCGAGCCUUGAAGGCUAGACUAGGGAGUUUGGAUUUUAUUCUCUAAGUCACCACAUCCACCGUUUCCAUAGUGUUCCACAGGACACUAAUUCUAUGAGAUGCUCUGAAAAAAGCGGAGGAAGGGAGCCAUGGACAAACAGGUCUCAGAAAGGCUGCAUAGCCCUAUGGCCAAUUUGCCAUGCACACUAGCUUACAUUGGUAAAUCCUGACGUAAAGAUAUCUGCCUCAUUUUGCUAAAGUCAGUGUUGCCCAAACUUGUUGGAUUAUGCUGCCCUGGGAUUCUCGUGACACCUAUUAACAUCCUCCAAAAGCAUUCCACAUGUUUAGGGAAACGUCUCCCUAGGAAAGGCAGCUAUUGGAGCUUUUUAGCAGAGGCAUUUACAUGGUCAGAGUGCUGCUUUAGGAAGGCUAAUCAGAUGGCGGAUUGCUGCUUGGUUUGAGGGGGAUAGAGACAAAUGACUAGAACGGUGGAUAUGUCAUUAAGGACUGGCGCAUGUCAGAUUUCUAGUGUCCGAAACACCGAAGAGACAUGUCAAGCACCGAGAAGACACCCUGUUACUGAGAUCAAAUGCUGGCAAUCAGCAGACUCCUCCGCCUUCCCCAGAUUUUGACUCACCCUACCCUGAAGCACAUAGGAUCCACCAUGGGUUCACGCCCCUCCGUGUCUCUCAGCCCCCAGAGGCACAUGAAGUGGUGCGUUGGAGUGACUGGUGCCAGCUCAUGGAAGCCGCUACCUGGGAGUUUCCCAACAACCAUUAGUAGAAGACUGCCAUGGUGGGGCCACCUAUACCGUGGAAAUCAGCCAAUGCUACAAAUGAGAGCUUUUGUUUGAGGGGGAUCCAUUUACCAGCACACCACUGACCAGGUGCCAAGUCGGGAUCAAAUGUGUAAAGGUUAUAUUAGAGAAAGCACUUGUGUGAGGAAAAAAAAAUGGGAAGGGAGGUAAGAUAGGCUGCGAUGGCGUGUCCAACAGCAAACCAGGGAAGGGAAGAGAGAGGAGAGAGGGAAAGGAGGUGGCGUGGACGUGUCCCAGACUGCAUGCCCUCUAAGGAAGGGUCAGCGAGUCCUCCAGCCAGCCAAAGUCAGCUAUCCGUGGAUGUCUUCCAGGAACCGGCGUUAGAUCCUUGCAGCAAUCAGCCACUCACAGGGAGCUGCCCGCGGGGAGGGCAGCCCAGGGCACACACAGCCAUGGAUGUCUGCGCGCAGCCGCCUGGGCCCUUGAUUUGUUGACGCUUCUCGUUGAUGAUGGUCCGUGAGACGCAUGCUCAUUACCACCACCGCCCACCCCUUGCCCCACACAGAUCUGUUUCUCCAACCAGGAAAGUUCAGAAAGCAGCUCCUCCAAGGUUCCCAGGGGCCUUUCUUCCUGAGCGAUAAACCACAGCCCCCGUGACGGCCGAGGGUCUUGGAGCAUCCCUAACCCCUCCUCCGCCCGGCAUUUAAAUUCCCCUCACCCUCAGCUAUCAGGUCAGCAGGUGUCGGUAGCUUACCUGAUGGGAUGACCCUCAUUCCUGAAGGGUCUAAAUUAGAAUCAUACCCUGCUCAGUCUGGAGUGACUGCACCUGCGUAUUCACAGUUACAAGUGGGUGAGGGAGCCGCAGGAGGCACCUGAGCCCAGCCCCUGGGUUCUGCCCUUGUUCCUCCCCGCCCCCACUAGGUAAAAGAGCGCCUGCCUCCUGCUGCUGAUUAGGUCAAUAACGCAUGCCAAUAAGAUGAUUUCUCUUUUAACCUGCUGAUCCUUGCGAACGAGGCAUCCUGCGUGUCCAGGCAGCAGCUUCGACUUGCGGUUCAACAAGACCCUUACCGUGUCUCCUGGCCAGAGCGUGUCCUCUUUUGGAUCCGGACCUCCAACCCUGCGUAACCCAGAGUCGCAGAGCAGGAAGCCCCAAAUCCCCCAGUGGGUCUUAGAGACUGGUGCUCUUCUUACUUGCUUAUUCUGAUGAAGCACACUGCCUUGUUAUGAACUGCCCUAUGGAGAAGCCCAUGUACAAGAAACUGAAACCAGCCUGGCAUGAUGGCUUAUUCCUGUACUCCCAGCACUUUUGGCAGCUGAGGUGAGCAGACUGCUUGAGUCCAAGAGUUCAAGACCAGCCUGGGUGACAUGGUGAAACCCCAUCUCUACAAAAACUACAAAAAUCAGCUGGGUGUGGUGGUUUGCACCUGUAGUCCCAACUACUCAGAAGGCUGAGGUGGGAAGAUUGCUUGAGCCUGGGAGGCAGAGGUUGCAGUGAGCUGACAUUGUACCAUUGUACUCCAGCCUGGGUGACAGAGUGAGACCCUGAAAAAAAAAAAAAGAAGGAAAGAAAGAAAAGAGAAGAGAAGAGAAACUGAAACCCUCAACUGAACAGUCCAUAAGGAAAUGAGGCCUGCUCGUAGCCACAGGAGUAAGCAUUAAAAUGAAUCCUACUCCCAGUCAAGCCUUCAGGUGAGACCACAGCCCCAACUGACACCUUGAUUGCAGCCACGUAAAAGGCUCUGAGACAGGAGACCCAGGUAAGC